Molecule: non-coding RNA, 71 nt
Organism: Nephila pilipes (giant wood spider)
Lineage: Eukaryota; Metazoa; Arthropoda; Arachnida; Araneae; Nephilidae
Source: the annotation of a GenBank genome assembly
GGCUCGAUGGUCUAGGGGUAUGAUUCUCGCUUUGGGUGCGAGAGGUCCCGAGGUUAAAAUCAGUCGGCCCG